AUGGAUUCCAAAUCGCGAUCGUAACACUCAAAGUACCAUAGCAAAUACAAAAAGAAUAAAACCUUUAGAAGGGGCAUAUAUUUCAAGUGGAACGUUAGAUUCUCAAACUUCAUUUGGAUCUCAAGAUAAAAAAUAUCCUGAAGUAACUAAUAUGGAGGAUUUAAAUAGUACAAUCAAUGGACCUAUUCAACCAAGUAUACCUACUCAAUUUAUAUCACGAGAAACCGG
Molecule: long non-coding RNA, 228 nt
Organism: Ceratosolen solmsi marchali
Lineage: Eukaryota; Metazoa; Arthropoda; Insecta; Hymenoptera; Agaonidae
Exons: 2
Source: RefSeq, a predicted model, not a curated record